RNAcentral lists this ribosomal RNA (249 nucleotides) under uncultured bacterium. RNAcentral describes it as "partial 16S ribosomal RNA". It matches the Rfam family "Bacterial small subunit ribosomal RNA", at positions 15 to 252 of the family's 1533-position model. The record is from RNAcentral.
GAUCAUGGCUCAGGAUGAACGCUAGCUACAGGCUUAACACAUGCAAGUCGAGGGGCAUCAGUUUGGUUUGCUUGCAAACCAAAGCUGGCGACCGGCGCACGGGUGAGUAACACGUAUCCAACCUGCCUCAUACUCGGGGAUAGCCUUUCGAAAGAAAGAUUAAUAUCCGAUAGCAUAUAUUUCCCGCAUGGGUUUUAUUAUUAAAGAAAUUACGGUAUAAGAUGGGGAGUGCGUUCCUAUUAGUUUUGG